Molecule: ribosomal RNA, 322 nt
Filed under: uncultured eukaryote
Lineage: Eukaryota
Description: partial 18S ribosomal RNA
Rfam family: Eukaryotic small subunit ribosomal RNA
Source: RNAcentral
CCCUUAGAUGUUCUGGGCCGCACGCGUGCUACACUGAGUGGAUCAGCGGGUCAGGUUGCGCGAACGUGUUUCCUAAUCUUGAAAUCCGCUCGUGAUGGGGAUUGACGGUUGCAAUUUUCUGUCAUGAACGAGGAAUACCUUGUAAGCGCGGGUCAUCAUCCCGCGCUGAAUACGUCCCUGCCCUUUGUACACACCGCCCGUCGCUCCUACCGAUUGAGUGGUCCGGUGAGGCUUUGGGAUCUGGAUGGAAAGAGCGUUUCGCUGUUUCUGCCCGGAAAACUCAGUCGAACCUUAUCAUUUAGAGGAAGGAGAAGUCGUAACA